RNAcentral lists this ribosomal RNA (496 nucleotides) under uncultured bacterium. Its description in RNAcentral is "partial 16S ribosomal RNA". It matches the Rfam family "Bacterial small subunit ribosomal RNA", at positions 29 to 507 of the family's 1533-position model. The record is from RNAcentral.
AUGAACGCUGGCGGCGUGCCUAAUACAUGCAAGUCGAGCGAACGGACGAGAAGCUUGCUUCUCUGAUGUUAGCGGCGGACGGGUGAGUAACACGUGGAUAACCUACCUAUAAGACUGGGAUAACUUCGGGAAACCGGAGCUAAUACCGGAUGAUAUUUUGAACCGCAUGGUUCAAAAGUGAAAGACGGUCUUGCUGUCACUUAUAGAUGGAUCCGCGCUGCAUUAGCUAGUUGGUAAGGUAACGGCUUACCAAGGCAACGAUGCAUAGCCGACCUGAGAGGGUGAUCGGCCACACUGGAACUGAGACACGGUCCAGACUCCUACGGGAGGCAGCAGUAGGGAAUCUUGCGCAAUGGGCGAAAGCCUGACGGAGCAACGCCGCGUGAGUGAUGAAGGUCUUCGGAUCGUAAAACUCUGUUAUUAGGGAAGAACAUAUGUGUAAGUAACUGUGCACAUCUUGACGGUACCUAAUCAGAAAGCCACGGCUAACUACGUG